ACGUGCCUGGUAGGAGAAGAAGGGCUUGCCUGGGAAGAGCUAGUUCAGCUGUCUCUGAGAUUCUGCUACGCUGACAUGAAGCGAAAACAAGUGGACUUUCCCAUGGUUUUGUGAUGCCCUCUCCCACAUGGGCUCGCUUUCACCUCACAGCGAGGGAGCAAGGGCAUCUCCCAUUUUUACAAGCAGAUUCUCAAAGCCCAGCAAGUCGUUCCAGGCUAAUUUUAUGGCCAGCGUGAGGCCCGCCAAAACUAGGAACUGUGUUCUGGUUCCAAGUUAUUUUCUGUCAUUCUUCUGCCCUUUGUUUUGACCUGUUCCCGUUCCCUUUGUUCUUGCCUUUCACAGGCAUUUACAUGCCAUGCCUGUGCUCUUGGCGUGUUUACUUACCUCACCAAGGAAACAACAUACUCCAGAAGCCUUGAGGGACCCAUCAAGUCCACACGGCCUCUUCCUACACUGAGCACUCGGGAGGCAGAGGCAGGUGGAUCCCUGUGAGAUGGAGGCUAGCCUGGUCUACAGAGCGAGUCCCAGGCCAGCAGAGACUGGAGAAUGAAAGCCUGUCUCAAUAACAAACAGCAGAAGCUGCGUCUGAUGAAGAUCUGGAGGAGUUCUCAGUCCAGCCGGGGCUCCCUUCCUGGUGCUCAGAGGACACACUCGAGAGGGUGUCGAUGGAAUUGCGGUUGGCUAGCCAAACAGAAGCAGAAUUGAAGCCUGGUGACUUAUCCAGUGCAGCCACAGCCACCCAGAGAGAACCUGCUGUUCGGUGUGCAGUUUGAGUUCAUUAGAAAAAACCAAGACUCGGUGUCAGCAGCUGGGGUAAUUUAGCUCUGUCUAAUGGUAGAUGAGUAAGGCAGAAAACUCAUGGUUGGACCUCAGGGCUCCCAUAGGGACACGCCAUCUGCUCCUUACUCCACAGUCAGGGGCCUCUCAGUGCAGUGGUUAGAGCGUACUCUUCAUUUCUGGUACCCUACACAACUUCUGAUGCCCCGUACCCAUAUACUAGCAUGCUCAUGCACAUGUGUGAACAUGUGAACAUAAACAGAGAGAGGGAGAGAACACAGAUGCCUCUGCCCUUCCCUUGGAACUUUCCCCAGCUUCUCCAUAGGUCUUUCUUUAACAUUAUAUUUGGAAUUUUUUUCUGUCUGGUAAGAUUAACA
Molecule: long non-coding RNA, 1154 nt
Organism: Alexandromys fortis (reed vole)
Lineage: Eukaryota; Metazoa; Chordata; Mammalia; Rodentia; Cricetidae
Exons: 3
Source: RefSeq, a predicted model, not a curated record